UUUCUAUGAGGAUAAUUUGUCCAGUUCUGCUACUGAAUGCAAGUGGUGAUAAGUACGACUCUGAGAAA
Cynoglossus semilaevis (tongue sole) is the source of this 68-nucleotide small nucleolar RNA. NCBI's taxonomy places the organism in Eukaryota, Metazoa, Chordata, Actinopteri, Pleuronectiformes, Cynoglossidae. The record is from Ensembl.